Molecule: ribosomal RNA, 468 nt
Filed under: uncultured bacterium
Lineage: Bacteria
Description: partial 16S ribosomal RNA
Rfam family: Bacterial small subunit ribosomal RNA
Source: RNAcentral
GACGAACGCUGGCGGCGUGCUUAACACAUGCAAGUCGAACGGAAAGGCCCUGCUUUUGUGGGGUGCUCGAGUGGCGAACGGGUGAGUAACACGUGAGUAACCUGCCCUUGACUUUGGGAUAACUUCAGGAAACUGGGGCUAAUACCGGAUAGGAGCUCCUGCUGCAUGGUGGGGGUUGGAAAGUUUCGGCGGUUGGGGAUGGACUCGCGGCUUAUCAGCUUGUUGGUGGGGUAGUGGCUUACCAAGGCUUUGACGGGUAGCCGGCCUGAGAGGGUGACCGGCCACCUUGGGACUGAGAUACGGCCCAGACUCCUACGGGAGGCAACAGUGGGAAAUAUUGCACAAUGGGCGCGAGCCUGAUACGAAAGCGCCGCGUGCGGGAUGACGGCCUUCGGGUUGUAAACCGCAUUCGCCUGUGACGAAGCGUGAGUGACGGUAAUGAGUAAAGAAGCACCGGCUAACUACGUG